GCAGUCGAACGAACUCUGGUAUUGAUUGGUGCUUGCAUCAUGAUUUACAUUUGAGUGAGUGGCGAACUGGUGAGUAACACGUGGGAAACCUGCCCAGAAGCGGGGGAUAACACCUGGAAACAGAUGCUAAUACCGCAUAACAACUUGGACCGCAUGGUCCGAGUUUGAAAGAUGGCUUCGGCUAUCACUUUUGGAUGGUCCCGCGGCGUAUUAGCUAGAUGGUGAGGUAACGGCUCACCAUGGCAAUGAUACGUAGCCGACCUGAGAGGGUAAUCGGCCACAUUGGGACUGAGACACGGCCCAAACUCCUACGGGAGGCAGCAGUAGGGAAUCUUCCACAAUGGACGAAAGUCUGAUGGAGCAACGCCGCGUGAGUGAAGAAGGGUUUCGGCUCGUAAAACUCUGUUGUUAAAGAAGAACAUAUCUGAGAGUAACUGUUCAGGUAUUGACGGUAUUUAACCAGAAAGCCACGGCUAACUACGUGCCAGCAGCCGCGGUAAUACGUAGGUGGCAAGCGUUGUCCGGAUUUAUUGGGCGUAAAGCGAGCGCAGGCGGUUUUUUAAGUCUGAUGUGAAAGCCUUCGGCUCAACCGAAGAAGUGCAUCGGAAACUGGGAAACUUGAGUGCAGAAGAGGACAGUGGAACUCCAUGUGUAGCGGUGAAAUGCGUAGAUAUAUGGAAGAACACCAGUGGCGAAGGCGGCUGUCUGGUCUGUAACUGACGCUGAGGCUCGAAAGUAUGGGUAGCAAACAGGAUUAGAUACCCUGGUAGUCCAUACCGUAAACGAUGAAUGCUAAGUGUUGGAGGGUUUCCGCCCUUCAGUGCUGCAGCUAACGCAUUAAGCAUUCCGCCUGGGGAGUACGGCCGCAAGGCUGAAACUCAAAGGAAUUGACGGGGGCCCGCACAAGCGGUGGAGCAUGUGGUUUAAUUCGAAGCUACGCGAAGAACCUUACCAGGUCUUGACAUACUAUGCAAAUCUAAGAGAUUAGACGUUCCCUUCGGGGACAUGGAUACAGGUGGUGCAUGGUUGUCGUCAGCUCGUGUCGUGAGAUGUUGGGUUAAGUCCCGCAACGAGCGCAACCCUUAUUAUCAGUUGCCAGCAUUAAGUUGGGCACUCUGGUGAGACUGCCGGUGACAAACCGGAGGAAGGUGGGGAUGACGUCAAAUCAUCAUGCCCCUUAUGACCUGGGCUACACACGUGCUACAAUGGAUGGUACAACGAGUUGCGAACUCGCGAGAGUAAGCUAAUCUCUUAAAGCCAUUCUCAGUUCGGAUUGUAGGCUGCAACUCGCCUACAUGAAGUCGGAAUCGCUAGUAAUCGCGGAUCAGCAUGCCGCGGUGAAUACGUUCCCGGGCCUUGUACACACCGCCCGUCACACCAUGAGAGUUUGUAACACCCAAAGUCGGUGGGGUAACCUUU
RNAcentral lists this ribosomal RNA (1419 nucleotides) under Lactiplantibacillus plantarum. RNAcentral describes it as "bacterial SSU rRNA". It matches the Rfam family "Bacterial small subunit ribosomal RNA". The record is from RNAcentral. Lineage: Bacteria; Bacillati; Bacillota; Bacilli; Lactobacillales; Lactobacillaceae.